This 425-nucleotide ribosomal RNA is filed under the name uncultured soil bacterium. RNAcentral describes it as "bacterial SSU rRNA". It matches the Rfam family "Bacterial small subunit ribosomal RNA", at positions 26 to 448 of the family's 1533-position model. The record is from RNAcentral.
AGAGUGAACGCUGGCGGCAGGCCUAAUACAUGCAAGUCGAACGGCAGCACGGCAGAGCUUGCUCUGUGGGUGGCGAGUGGCGGACGGGUGAGGAAUACAUGGGAAUCUGCCCAGUCGUGGGGGAUAACGUAGGGAAACUUACGCUAAUACCGCAUGCGCCCUUCGGGGGAAAGCCGGGGACCUUCGGGCCUGGCGCGAUUGGAUGAGCCCAUGUCGGAUUAGCUAGUUGGCGGGUAACGCCACCAAGGCGACGAUCCGUAGCUGGUCUGAGAGGAUGAUCAGCCACACUGGAACUGAGACACGGUCCAGACUCUAGGGAGCAGCAGCAGGGAAUAUUGGACAAGUGGGCGACAAGCCUGAUCCAGCCAUCGCCGCGUAGAGUGAAAGAAGGCCUUAGGGUUAUAAAGUCUUACUUUGUACGGAAA